This is a non-coding RNA of Merluccius polli (Benguela hake), 75 nucleotides long. NCBI's taxonomy places the organism in Eukaryota, Metazoa, Chordata, Actinopteri, Gadiformes, Merlucciidae. The record is from the annotation of a GenBank genome assembly.
GGUCCUGGCUAGCUCAACUGGCAGAGCACGGCAUUAAAGUUGCCAAGGUUAGGGGUCCGAUUCCCACCGGGACCG